CACAACAUUAAGAAAACAACAUGUAAAUGAACAGCUUCUCUACCAGGAAAUUCAGUCAUCUGGGUAUGGUACUCCAACAAGAUAUCCGGAUGGCACUGCCUUCCUAAGAAGGAUGUCAGUUGCAAAGGCAGAGAAGGAACUGGACAGAACAUCAAAUGAUUUAUGCAGAGCAGAUUUAUGGGAAUCCUGUCAGGGAACCCAGUAAGACAAACUUCAGGAUUGCCUCUGCCCCCUGCUGCCACUGAUUCUGUGCUGCUGGACCAUAGAGAUAAAGAGGAGCCAAAAGAGUCUUCACUGGAAAGAAGACAGCAACAAGGAUCAAAGACAGCAUCCAGUCACCUGAAGAAAGCCAGGUUAUGGAGCACUGCAGCUAUUUUCCUCCAGCCUGAGCAUACAGGAAUGAAGUGUGCUUUCCUGCAUGUGCUGUGCCUUAGCAUUCAUGAGCAUCCUCAUGAAGCCAAGCUGUGAGUCAAUGCUGUGUCAAACUACAGGGAAGAAGAAUAUCAGUCAUAUGGCAUUCUUAAUCACGAGGGGAAAUGGAUUUGACUAAAUGAAUAUGCAAAUGCCAAUUUACAAUUAAAUCAUGAGCUCUUCCUGAUGUGCAAAAUGCCCUGGUGAAAAAUAUGUUACUGUAUCGGUUCUUGUCACAUGCUGGGUGGAUGGGGGAAGAGCGGUAGAUGUAGUCUACCUUGAUUUUAGAAAGGCAUUUGAUACUUUCUCCCACGGCAUCCUUAUAACAAAACUGAGGAAGUGUGGGAUAGAUGAGUGGACAGUGAGGUGGGUUGAAAACUGGCUGACUGGCAGAGCGCAGAGGGUCGUCGUUGGUGGUGCAGAGUCUGGCUGGAGACCUGUAACCAGUGGUGUCCCCCAGGGGUCUGUGCUGGGUCCGGUCUUGUUCAACAUCUUC
RNAcentral lists this long non-coding RNA (907 nucleotides) under Meleagris gallopavo (turkey). RNAcentral describes it as "lncRNA (ENSMGAG00000018906.1)". The record is from RNAcentral. Lineage: Eukaryota; Metazoa; Chordata; Aves; Galliformes; Phasianidae.